Molecule: long non-coding RNA, 958 nt
Organism: Passer domesticus (house sparrow)
Lineage: Eukaryota; Metazoa; Chordata; Aves; Passeriformes; Passeridae
Exons: 2
Source: RefSeq, a predicted model, not a curated record
CGGCCCGGCCCGGCCCGGCUCUCGCCCUCAGGUCUCGGCGGUGCCUUUUCAAUCACCGAUCACCGAUUUAAAAGUGUUGCUGUUCCUUUACCUGUUUACCGUGCAUCCCUCAAAUGCGGUACCAUCUUCCUCGGCGGGGACUACAACCACCUGUAGUCGCAGGUCUCCCAAACGAGCCCACGUCCCCUUCAGAGCCCCUGAUAAGGUUUAUUUCUUAGCUUCUCCAAACACUGAAGGCAGAGAGAAGGGGAUUUCCGAAGAGGCAGCUGAGCACAGACCCACCCUCAGCUCCGCUGGUGUCAGGUGGAGCCCUUGGCCUCCCUGUCCCUGAGCAGCCCGGCCCAGCCUCAGCCCUGCUGUGCUGUUGGCGAGGAAGGGCUGUGCGAGAGGAGGAAUCCCUGCCAGCAGCACUCAGUCCUUCGUUUGCCGUGUGCUUUUCAGCCCCUUAGUGCAGCCCUUGCUGCCGCUGCUCCCGGCCCUGAUCCCCAGCAGAGCAGUGCCCUCAGCCAUCCCAGACAGGGCUGGCACAUUGAAGUUUCUGCAUGGACAUGGGACACGAGUUACUGCAUCACAUCUAAAAUGCCACCAGACAUCCGUGUUCAGGAAAAUGGACUCAGAGGAAGCUGAAAGAGGCAGACCCUCGUGGGGCAGCAGUGCAGAGAUGCAAAGAGAGCCUGUGCUGCCUGGGUGAAGUUACACACGGGCCAGGCAGGCACAGCUUGUUCAGAUCCAGAAGCUGCAGAGGCACUCUGAGGAUUCUUGAUGUGCUGCUGAAGUGGGAUGCUUCAUGGUGAGGAAGAUUUAGAAAUGCUGACAUCUGAUAAAAGAACUAGUUCAGAUUCUAUGAUUGUGAAAUGUAUAAAUACCUAAAUCUGAUACCAUGGUAACUUGGAAGAAGAGUUCUUACAACUGGUUAUCCAGAUGUCUACAAAUAUGAAAAACAAGCUGCUCCAGAUAC